RNAcentral lists this ribosomal RNA (394 nucleotides) under uncultured eukaryote. Its description in RNAcentral is "partial 18S ribosomal RNA". It matches the Rfam family "Eukaryotic small subunit ribosomal RNA", at positions 592 to 976 of the family's 1831-position model. The record is from RNAcentral.
CAAUAGCGUAUAUUAAAGUUGUUGCAGUUAAAAAGCUCGUAGUUGGAUUUCUGUGCUGGACGUCCGGUCGGCGCCCUCUGGGCGGUUUGUACUUGUGGACGUUGGGCGCAUUUUUUGUGAGGUCGCGGUUCUGCCAUUAAGUUGGUGGUUUUGCGGGCUUGCAUCGUUUACUGUGAAAAAAUUAGAGUGUUUAAAGCAGGCGUUUGCUCAUUUGAAUACAUUAGCAUGGAAUAAUAAGAUACGGCCUUGGUGGUCUAUUUUGUUGGUUUGCACACCAGGGUAAUGAUUAAUAGGGACAGUUGGGGGUAUUCAUAUUUCAGCGUCAGAGGUGAAAUUCUUGGAUCGCUGAAAGAUGAGCUUAGGCGAAAGCAUUUACCAAGGAUGUUUUCAUUAA